This 213-nucleotide long non-coding RNA is filed under the name Mytilus galloprovincialis (Mediterranean mussel). The record is from RNAcentral. Lineage: Eukaryota; Metazoa; Mollusca; Bivalvia; Mytilida; Mytilidae.
CUCAACAAACGAGAGAACAUUAUAGCAGUUAGUGUUACAGUAGUUAUACUCUUUAUGAGUAGUUUUAGUAUUUUUGAUCAACCUUUUAAAAGAUACCCUAGGCAAUAGUUGUCUGGAAAUUCACUUAAAGGUGUACUUAUUAUUGAUAAAUUUGCAAGUUGUUUUUCUUAUUGGUCUUGAGCUUGACUAAAAUUGUGAUCUCAAAUAUAUGCC